RNAcentral lists this ribosomal RNA (468 nucleotides) under uncultured bacterium. RNAcentral's name for it is "partial 16S ribosomal RNA". It matches the Rfam family "Bacterial small subunit ribosomal RNA", at positions 28 to 507 of the family's 1533-position model. The record is from RNAcentral.
GACGAACGCUGGCGGCGUGCCUAACACAUGCAAGUCGAACGGAAACGCCCUGCUUUUUUGCGCUGCUGGGGUGGCGAAGGGGUGAGUAACACGUAAGUAACGUGCCCUUGACUUUGGGGUAAGUUCAGGAAACGGGGGUUAAUCCCAGAUAGGAGCUCCCGCUGCAUGGUGGGGGUUGGAUAGUUUCGCCGGUUGGGGAUGGAUUGGCGGCUUAUGGGCUUGUUGGUUGGGUAGUGGCAUACCAAGGCAGUGACCGGUAGCCUACCUGGGAGGGUGACCGGCCACAUUACGACUGAGAUACGGCCCAGACUCGAAUGGGAGGCAGCAGUGGGGAGUAUUGUACAGUGGGAGGGGGCCUGAUGCGGCAACGCCGCGUGGGGGAAGACGGCCUGCGGGUUGUGAACCGCAGCCGCUUGAGACGAAGCGUUAGUGACGGUAAUGGGUGAAUAAGCACCGGCUAACUACGUG